CGUGUGGUGUCCGGCAAUAAAAGGCCCGGAUAGCGACACGGCCAAAACCUGAGGU
RNAcentral lists this non-coding RNA (55 nucleotides) under Morganella morganii. RNAcentral describes it as "L31-Gammaproteobacteria ribosomal protein leader". It matches the Rfam family "L31-Gammaproteobacteria ribosomal protein leader". The record is from RNAcentral. Lineage: Bacteria; Pseudomonadati; Pseudomonadota; Gammaproteobacteria; Enterobacterales; Morganellaceae.